CGAGCCCUUCCUCGGGCCAGGCACCAGCCUCCGGGGGCCCUCGGGGACUCCCUCACGCCCCACCACGUGUGGGGAGCUCCGCGGACACCCAGGACUCAGAGCCCGCCAAGCGCCCUGGCCUCCUGACGGCUCUGACUCCUAGCAGCCUGAGCGGCUCGUGGCCUGCGGUGACAGGACGCAGGCUGAUGUCCUCCUGCCUUGGCCCCUGUGAACUGCUGCUCACCGCCCGCCUCCAGGGCAAGCGCCUCCCUCCAGAGACAUUCGGGGCCGCAGACGAGGACACUUCCCUGUGCACCUGAGCCAGGGGAGUCCAGCCCACAGAGUGCAGAAUCACCAGAGAUGUCCGCACAGUACACGGCCGGGAGGGGGGACUCACAGAGACCAAAGUCCUGCCACGUCCUGCCUCUCCGCGUGGCCCAGCAAACCGUUUCCUCCCCGUGAGACCCUCCCCGCCGCCAGAUGCUCAGGAGCCUCGUGCCCAGCCCGUCCUGGGUCCCGGUUUGCUCACAGGGACUCUGCACCUAUGGAAUUAAAUCUGAUUUUCUCCUGUC
This is a long non-coding RNA of Bubalus bubalis (water buffalo), 551 nucleotides long. RefSeq lists it as uncharacterized. NCBI's taxonomy places the organism in Eukaryota, Metazoa, Chordata, Mammalia, Artiodactyla, Bovidae. The record is from RefSeq and is a predicted model, not a curated record. The transcript has 3 exons.